RNAcentral lists this long non-coding RNA (1175 nucleotides) under Citrus x clementina. RNAcentral describes it as "Citrus clementina (C. clementina) long non-coding RNA (CCLE_LNC006089)". Lineage: Eukaryota; Viridiplantae; Streptophyta; Magnoliopsida; Sapindales; Rutaceae. The record is from RNAcentral.
AUAGCCCUGGGGGGGGGCUGGCCAACUUCGUCGGCCGGACUCGGAAUGGCACGAGACUUUGCGAGCGGGCUCCGUGUGCCAAAAAUAGGCCGCCGGACUCGGUAUGGUGCGAGACUUUACGACACGCCUCGGUGUGCCAAAAAUAGGCCGCGGGCAAAGCCGCGCCCAAAAAUAACCUACCGAAGGCCGGGGCGCCAAGUUCGUCCAGCAGAAAAAAGCCACAAAACGGGUGGGCUAUAGCCUUGGGGGGUGGGGCUGGCCAACUUCGUCCGCCGGACUCGGAAUAGCGCGAGACCUUACGAGCGGCCUCCGUGUUCCAAAAAUAGGCCGCGGGCACAGCCGUACACAAAAAUAACUGCCCGAAGGCCGGGGCGCCAAGUUCGUCCAGCGGAAAAAGGCCAAAAAAACGGGUGGGCUAUAGCCUUGGGGGGUGGGGCGGGCCAACUUCGUUCGCCGGACUCGGAAGGGCGCGACACUUUGCGAGCGGCCUCCGUGUGCCAAAAAUAGGCCGUGGACACAGCCGCGUCCAAAAAUAACCGUCCGAAGGCCGGGGCGCCAAGUUCGUCCAGCGGAAAAUGGCCACAAAAACGGGUGGGCUAUAGCCUUGGGGGGUGGGGCUGGCCAACUUCGUCCGCCGGACUCGGAAUGGCGCGAGACUUUGUGAGGGGCCUCCAUGUGCCAAAAAUAGGCCGUGGGCGCAGCCGCGCCCAAAAAUCACCGCCCGAAGGCCGGGGCGCCAAGUUCGCCCUGCGGAAAAAGGCCACAAAAACGGGUGGGCUAUAGCCUUGGGGGUUGGGGCUGGCCAACUUCGUCCGCCGGACUCGGAAUGGCGCGAGACUUUGCGAGCGGCCUCCGUGUGCCAAAAAAAGGCCGCGGGUGCAGCUGCGCCUAAAAAUCACCGCCCGAAGGCCGGGGCGCCAAGUUAGUCCAGCGGAAAAAGGCCACAAAAACGGGUGGGCUAUAGCCCUGGGGGGCGGGACUGGUCAACUUCGUCCGCCGGACUCGGAAUGGCGCGAGACUUUGCGAGCGGGCUCCGUGUGCCAAAAAUAGGCCGCCGGACUCGGUAUGGUACGAGACUUUGCGAGGCGCCUCGGUGUGCCAAAAAUAGGCCGCGGGCAAAGCCGCGCCCAAAAAUAACCGACCGAAGGCCGGGGCGCCAAGUUCGUCGCGCGGAN